RNAcentral lists this ribosomal RNA (253 nucleotides) under uncultured bacterium. RNAcentral describes it as "partial 16S ribosomal RNA". It matches the Rfam family "Bacterial small subunit ribosomal RNA", at positions 524 to 776 of the family's 1533-position model. The record is from RNAcentral.
UACGUGGGGUGCAAGCGUUGUUCGGAAUUACUGGGCGUAAAGCGUGUGUAGGCGGCCCGCUAAGUCUGGUGUGAAAUCCCCAAGCUUAACUUGGGAACUGCAUCGGAAACUGGCGGGCUCGAGUUCGGGAGAGGGUGGUGGAAUUCCUGGUGUAGAGGUGAAAUUCGUAGAUAUCAGGAGGAACACCGGUGGCGAAGGCGGCCACCUGGACCGAUACUGACGCUGAGACACGAAAGCGUGGGGAGCAAACAGG